CCUACGGGGGGCUGCAGUGGGGAAUAUUGGACAAUGGGGGCAACCCUGGUCCAGCCAUGCCGCGUGUGUGAAGAAGGCCCUCGGGUUGUAAAGCACUUUCAGUGAGGAAGAACGCCUGGUGGUUAAUACCCAUCAGGAAAGACAUCACUCACAGAAGAAGCACCGGCUAACUCCGUGCCAGCAGCCGCGGUAAUACGGAGGGUGCGAGCGUUAAUCGGAAUUACUGGGCGUAAAGCGCGCGUAGGUGGCUUGAUAAGCCGGUUGUGAAAGCCCCGGGCUCAACCUGGGAACGGCAUCCGGAACUGUCAAGCUAGAGUGCAGGAGAGGAAGGUAGAAUUCCCGGUGUAGCGGUGAAAUGCGUAGAGAUCGGGAGGAAUACCAGUGGCGAAGGCGGCCUUCUGGACUGACACUGACACUGAGGUGCGAAAGCGUGGGUAGCAAACAGGAUUAGAUACCCUUGUAGUC
RNAcentral lists this ribosomal RNA (465 nucleotides) under Vreelandella stevensii. RNAcentral describes it as "partial 16S ribosomal RNA". It matches the Rfam family "Bacterial small subunit ribosomal RNA", at positions 338 to 795 of the family's 1533-position model. The record is from RNAcentral. Lineage: Bacteria; Pseudomonadati; Pseudomonadota; Gammaproteobacteria; Oceanospirillales; Halomonadaceae.